This 439-nucleotide ribosomal RNA is filed under the name uncultured bacterium. Its description in RNAcentral is "bacterial SSU rRNA". It matches the Rfam family "Bacterial small subunit ribosomal RNA", at positions 958 to 1397 of the family's 1533-position model. The record is from RNAcentral.
AACGCGAAGAACCUUACCCAGGCUUGACAUGCAGUAGACAGUGUUAGAAAUAACACCUUCCUUCGGGACUGCUGCACAGGUGCUGCAUGGCUGUCGUCAGCUCGUGCCGUGAGGUGUUUGGUUAAGUCCAGCAACGAGCGCAACCCUUAUCACUAGUUGCCAACGCGUAAUGGCGGGAACUCUAGUGAGACUGCCUGGGUUAACCAGGAGGAAGGUGAGGAUGACGUCAAGUCCGCAUGGCCCUUAUGUCUGGGGCUACACACGUGCUACAAUGGUCGGUACAGAAGGCAGCGAAACCGCAAGGCGGAGCAAAUCCCAAAAACCGGCCUCAGUUCAGAUUGUAGUCUGCAACUCGACUACAUGAAGACGGAAUUGCUAGUAAUGGCGGGUCAGCAACACCGCCGUGAAUACGUUCCCGGGCCUUGUACACACCGGCUAC